This 774-nucleotide ribosomal RNA is filed under the name uncultured Neocallimastigales. RNAcentral describes it as "partial large subunit ribosomal RNA". It matches the Rfam family "Eukaryotic large subunit ribosomal RNA", at positions 23 to 645 of the family's 3401-position model. Lineage: Eukaryota; Fungi; Neocallimastigomycota; Neocallimastigomycetes; Neocallimastigales. The record is from RNAcentral.
GAGAGAGACAUGCGCGCAUAUCAAUAAGCGGAGGAAAAGAAACUAACAAGGAUUCCCUUAGUAACGGCGAGUGAAGCGGGAAGAGCUCAAAUUUGAAAUCUUCAAGGUUUUACCUUGACGAAUUGUAGUUUAAAGAAGUGUUUUCUGCUGAAGUUUUGGUAAAAGUUCUUUGGAAUAGGACAUCAUAGAGGGUGAGAAUCCCGUAUUUGACCAUUAUUUUCAGCUUUGUGAUACACUUUCAAAGAGUCGGAUUGUUUGGGAAUGCAGUCCAAAAUGGGUGGUAAAUUUCAUCUAAAGCUAAAUAUUGGCGAGAGACCGAUAGCGAACAAGUACCGUGAGGGAAAGAUGAAAAGAACUUUGAAAAGAGAGUUAAACAGUACGUGAAAUUGUCAAAAGGGAAGCGUUUGACACCAGUGUUGUUUUCUCGAAAAUCAAUUAAAAAUGGCUCGAUUCUGUAUUGCUUGAGACCUUAAAAGCUCACUGUACAUUUUUCGUGUCUUUUUUAAUGCACUUUUCGUUUAACAAGUCAACAUCAGUUUCUUUUGUUGUAAAAGGGUCAUUGGAAGGUGGCUUUCUUUUCGGAGAAAGUGUUUAUAGCCUUUGGCCUCUGCAAUCGGAGAGACUGAGGUCUGCAGCGUAGACUCUUCGGGGUUAGAUACAUUUGUGCUAAGUUAUAGCUUUUUAUAGACAACUUGUUGACUAUAAUUAGUCUUGUAGCUUACUCGCUUAUGCUAUUUUACCUACGCUUAGGAUGUUGAAGUCAUCGUAUCGCGC